UCUCCGUAGGUGAACCUGCGGAAGGAUCAUUAUCGUAUAACCGAGGUGCGAGGGCUGUCGCUGACCCGAAAGGUCGUGCACGCCCGAGUGCCCUCACACACAUCCAUCUCACCCCUAUGUGCACCACCGCGUGGGUCCCCCUUUGGCUUGUUCGGAGGGGGGCUUACGUUUUCACACAAACUUUGUAUGCAGUGUAGAAUGUAUUUUUUGUUUUUGCGAUCACGCAAUCAAUACAACUUUCAACAACGGAUCUCUUGGCUCUC
Molecule: unclassified non-coding RNA, 263 nt
Filed under: plant metagenome
Description: partial contains small subunit ribosomal RNA, internal transcribed spacer 1, and 5.8S ribosomal RNA
Source: RNAcentral